RNAcentral lists this transfer RNA (539 nucleotides) under uncultured Prochlorococcus sp. Its description in RNAcentral is "partial 16S-23S ribosomal RNA intergenic spacer". The stretch from base 212 to 284 matches the Rfam family "tRNA". Lineage: Bacteria; Bacillati; Cyanobacteriota; Cyanophyceae; Synechococcales; Prochlorococcaceae. The record is from RNAcentral.
CAGGGAGACAACAAAAUGUUUAAUAUUAUUAUUUUGUCACCUUAGGUCGAUCGGUACCUCACGUUCUUAAUUUAUUAAGAAUUUCACUUCCUAAGUUUUUCUAGGUCACACCCAUUAUUUUUCCUGGGCCAUUAGCUCAGGUGGUUAGAGCGCACCCCUGAUAAGGGUGAGGUCCCUGGUUCAAGUCCAGGAUGGCCCAUAUCUCUAUGUUGGGGGUAUAGCUCAGUUGGUAGAGCGCCUGCUUUGCAAGCAGGAUGUCAGCGGUUCGAGUCCGCUUACCUCCACUGAUUACCACCUCUUUCAUAUUCUGUGGAAAGGAAAUUUUUUGAGUUGUGCUUAAAUUCUGAACGAAUCCAGCUUCCUAAUGUAAUCAUUAAGAUGCUGGACUCAUUGAAUUAAUUUCAUUGUUUUCAGAGAACCUUGACAACUGCAUAGAUUAUUUAAAAGACAAUAAGCAUCUUGAAUGAUGCAGAUUUAUUAUUUGUGCGAAUGCAUUAAUAACAAUUCUAUUAAGCUGAUGCUUCAAUUUUGAAGUUAUU